RNAcentral lists this ribosomal RNA (366 nucleotides) under uncultured bacterium. RNAcentral's name for it is "bacterial SSU rRNA". It matches the Rfam family "Bacterial small subunit ribosomal RNA", at positions 71 to 422 of the family's 1533-position model. The record is from RNAcentral.
AAAGGGGCUUCGGCUCCGAGUAAGUGGCGCACGGGUGAGUAACACGUGGGUAACCUGCCUCUAAGAUUGGGAUAACUCGUCGAAAGAUGAGCUAAUACCGGAUAAGACCACAGUUCCCGCGGGAACAGGGGUCAAAGGUAGCCUCUGCUUGCAAGCUAUCACUUAGAGAUGGGCCUGCGCACCAUUAGCUAGUUGGUAGGGUAACGGCCUACCAAGGCAAAGAUGGUUAGCUGGUCUGAGAGGAUGAUCAGCCACACUGGAACUGAGACACGGUCCAGACUCCUACGGGAGGCAGCAGUGGGGAAUAUUGCGCAAUGGGCGAAAGCCUGACGCAGCAACGCCGCGUGAGUGAUGAAGGCCUUCGGG